Molecule: long non-coding RNA, 1321 nt
Organism: Cyprinus carpio (common carp)
Lineage: Eukaryota; Metazoa; Chordata; Actinopteri; Cypriniformes; Cyprinidae
Source: Ensembl
AUGCAACUGGGAUCCAUUUUCAAAGUUCAAUUGUACAUGGUUAUUUCUACAGUGUUUAGUUCAGUACAAUGUAAAGAAAUACAUAACAACAACUGUACAGUUGUUGUACAAACUGUAUUUUGUAUUGUUUUGAAACAAUUAUGUUUUAUAGUGCUGGUUUCCACCGGUAUUACUGUAAUUUUGUCUGGACUCAUGGGAUUCAUCUGUCUGUGCCAGUUUGCAUGUUCUGCUGAUGUUCUCACAGAACUGAACUACACCUCCUGCCAGAUGGAAACAACAUCUCUUUUAACUUCCUCUGUGUGCUCCUCAAAACAUGAAUGACUUGUUUACUUUCUUCACUUGUUGCCUUGAAACACAAAACAAAUGAUAUGUACAGAAAGAUAAUACAGUACUUAGUUACUGAAUUUAUAUACUGAUCAGCAGACCAGACAGAAUCUGUGGAGCUUUUUUUUCCACACAUUUUGAUUUUGGGAGAAAAUUUAUUUUUUUAUGGAUAAAAUGUGUUAAAUGUAGGUGAAAGUUAUCUGUGGAGUUAAGAUUCAGAUUUAUUACAAGAUCAGUGAUCGGUACAGAUCUAAGGCUUAAGAAAUAUAAAAUCUAAUUUAUGUCAUUUUUUUUUUAAAUCAACUACUGUAACAUAUACAUGUACAAGAGUUCUAACAAAGUUGCAGCAUGGUAUAAACAAUUUCAUAAAAUUAGCAUAAUGCCUUACUUGUUUAAUUUGUAUUAUUGUACUUUCAGUUGUCUGAUGAAAAAGAGCAACUGACCGCUUGACAUUGUCUGCAUGUUUUAUGCAUUAACCAGCAAACAUGUACCUAAUAUAGAGACUAUAAACUGAAUAAUGUAUUCCACAUUCUUAAUUUUGUUAUUAUGAUCUUGUGUUUUUCAAGUGUAUUAAUGGUACAGAUGUUUUUGCCACAUUUAUGUUACUUUUACAAAACUACCUUCCUUUUAGUCUUUGCCCCAGAUCUGUCAUCUGUUAAAUAGCUGUAGAUGUGGUCUCACGAUCUGUGUUCAUCUUCAUAACUGACUGCACAAUGCAUUAAACAGUUUGUGGUCUGAUGUUCUACUUCCUUAUUCACCCAUUGUGAGAGUCUCAUUCUGUAUCUUCUCUCACACUCGCUGUUAUGGAGUUGUUCAUCCUCAUAGUUUUUCUGCUCCUGAUGGAGGUUCAGUCUCACCGUAAGUGAUGUCUAUUGUUUAAUUUUGAUUAAACAUUGUAUGUCCACAUUUGUCUAGCAUAUUUCAGCAUUUGUUUUCAGUACGUUUUAGUAAUACUGCAAACACUUGAACCUACAACUUCUCUGUUUUACAUUAGUUA